This 635-nucleotide ribosomal RNA is filed under the name uncultured Lachnospiraceae bacterium. Its description in RNAcentral is "bacterial SSU rRNA". It matches the Rfam family "Bacterial small subunit ribosomal RNA", at positions 90 to 744 of the family's 1533-position model. The record is from RNAcentral. Lineage: Bacteria; Bacillati; Bacillota; Clostridia; Lachnospirales; Lachnospiraceae.
AUUUAGUGGCGGACGGGUGAGUAACGCGUGGGUAACCUGCCUUGUACUGGGGGACAACAGUUGGAAACGACUGCUAAUACCGCAUAAGCGCACAGCUUCGCAUGAAGCAGUGUGAAAAACUCCGGUGGUACAGGAUGGACCCGCGUCUGAUUAGCUGGUUGGUGAGGUAACGGCUCACCAAGGCGACGAUCAGUAGCCGGCUUGAGAGAGUGAACGGCCACAUUGGGACUGAGACACGGCCCAAACUCCUACGGGAGGCAGCAGUGGGGAAUAUUGCACAAUGGGGGAAACCCUGAUGCAGCGACGCCGCGUGAGUGAAGAAGUAUCUCGGUAUGUAAAGCUCUAUCAGCAGGGAAGAAAAUGACGGUACCUGACUAAGAAGCCCCGGCUAACUACGUGCCAGCAGCCGCGGUAAUACGUAGGGGGCAAGCGUUAUCCGGAAUUACUGGGUGUAAAGGGUGCGUAGGUGGUAUGGCAAGUCAGAAGUGAAAACCCAGGGCUUAACUCUGGGACUGCUUUUGAAACUGUCAGACUGGAGUGCAGGAGAGGUAAGCGGAAUUCCUAGUGUAGCGGUGAAAUGCGUAGAUAUUAGGAGGACAUCAGUGGCGAAGGCGGCUUACUGGACUGAAACUGAC